Molecule: long non-coding RNA, 759 nt
Organism: Vespula vulgaris
Lineage: Eukaryota; Metazoa; Arthropoda; Insecta; Hymenoptera; Vespidae
Exons: 2
Source: RefSeq, a predicted model, not a curated record
UCUGAAAAUAAUUUUACAUCGGGGAUUACAGGGCGUCAUGUCGGUGGGGUGGAUAAAUAAGACAUGGACCAUCUAUGGCUCCAACAUAGAUUUCAUACGGUCGUAAGAAAAAAAUCACGUUAUCACUUUAUUAUUAUCAACGUUAUCGUCAUAAUCCUAAUCUUUGUUUUUAUCUGGAGUAGCUGUACUAGCUAGCGAGUUAUGUUCCGCACGGAAGAGGCAAGAUCGAACUGUCAAAGCGAAAAGGGAACGAAAGAAGCGGAUGGAAAAAAAGUAAAGAAAAGGAAGAUAGGUAAGAGCGUGAGAAAAAGGGCAGUUCAACAUGUUCGUAUGAUCAGAUUUGUGAUUAAAACAAGAUAUCGUAACUCUUUUCCUUCUUUCUUAUAAAUUUUCUAUCAUAUACUUUUCUAAAAUGCUUAAAUUGCGUUCUUUAAGACAGAUAUCGUCUUAUUAACGGAAAGAAAGAAAGAAAGAAAGACGUAAGAAAUAAUGAGAAAAAGCGGGAUACCUCGAAUCGGAAAAGGUUUCGUCUGUUUCGACGUCGGUGGCGUGUAGUGCAUCUCAUUUUUCGGAUCGGUCAUCCUAGAUUUCCAAUGUUUCCUAUGUCACAAAACGUAAAUGCUUUUCGAACAAAGGGACUAUACUACUCUCGGCUCAUCCGUCCGGCUACGCGGUACAGAACGAUGUGGAAUAGAAACAGAAAACACGGGUAGAUAGACAACGAGAAAGAGGCAGAGAGAGAGAGAGAGAGAGAGAAAA